GACGAACGCUGGCGGCGUGCCUAAUACAUGCAAGUCGAGCGAACAGACGAGGCGCUUGCUCCUCUGACGUUAGCGGCGGACGGGUGAGUAACACGUGGAUAACCUCCCUAUCAUACUGGGAUAACUUCGGGACACCGGCGCUAAUCCCGGAUAAUAUAUUGCUCCGCAUGGUUCAAUAGUGAAUGUCGGCUUUGCUGUCACUUCUCGAUGGAUCCGCGCUGCUUUAGCUAGUUGGUAGGGUAACGGCUUACCAAGGCAACGAUGCGUAGCCGACCUGUGAGGGGGAUCGGCCGCACGAGAACUGAGACGCGGACCAGAGUCCUACGGGAGGGAGCAGUAGGGAAUCGUCGGCAAUGGGCGAGAGCCUGACAGAGCAACGCCGCGUGAGUGACGAAGGUCUUCGGAGCGUGAAGCUCUGUUAUGAGUGAAGAACAGAUGUGGAAGGAAAUAUGGACGUCUUGACGGUACCUAGUCAGAAAGCAACGGCUAACUACGUG
Molecule: ribosomal RNA, 497 nt
Filed under: uncultured bacterium
Lineage: Bacteria
Description: partial 16S ribosomal RNA
Rfam family: Bacterial small subunit ribosomal RNA
Source: RNAcentral